Molecule: ribosomal RNA, 428 nt
Filed under: uncultured bacterium
Lineage: Bacteria
Description: bacterial SSU rRNA
Rfam family: Bacterial small subunit ribosomal RNA
Source: RNAcentral
UGGGGAAUUUUGGACAAUGGGGGCAACCCUGAUCCAGCCAUUCCGCGUGAGUGAAGAAGGCCUUCGGGUUGUAAAGCUCUUUUGUUCGGGACGAAACGGUUUCACCUAAUACGUGAGACUACUGACGGUACCGGAAGAAUAAGCACCGGCUAACUACGUGCCAGCAGCCGCGGUAAUACGUAGGGUGCGAGCGUUAAUCGGAAUUACUGGGCGUAAAGCGUGCGCAGGCGGUUUUAUAAGCCAGAUGUGAAAGCCCCGGGCUCAACCUGGGAAUGGCAUUUGGGACUGUAAGGCUGGAGUAUGGCAGAGGAGACUAGAAUUCCUGGUGUAGCAGUGAAAUGCGUAGAUAUCAGGAGGAAUACCGAUGGCGAAGGCAGGUCUCUGGGCCAAUACUGACGCUCAUGCACGAAAGCGUGGGGAGCAAACAG